This 208-nucleotide ribosomal RNA is filed under the name uncultured bacterium. Its description in RNAcentral is "partial 16S ribosomal RNA". It matches the Rfam family "Bacterial small subunit ribosomal RNA", at positions 126 to 334 of the family's 1533-position model. The record is from RNAcentral.
GUACCCCGGACUCCGGGAUAGCUGCCCGAAAGGGCAGGUAAUACCGGAUGACAUACUCCGCAGGCAUCUGUGGAGUCUCAAAGGUCCGCCGGUCUGGGCGCAGGCGAUUUCGUAUCAGCUAGUUGGUGAGGUAACGGCUCACCAAGGCGACGAUCAGUAGCUGGUCUGAGAGGAUGAUCAGCCACAUUGGGACUGAGACACGGCCCAG